AGUUAGCAUGUUGUCUAAUGUUAGAAUUGCAUCCAUUAUAUUUGAGCUAAUUUUAAAUUAAAAGCUUCAACUUACAUCCUGAAUAGAGUAAUUUAAUGCUGUCAAACAUGUUCGUGUUAGCCAACAUGCUAUAGUUAGUAUUUUAGCUAGCUUUAGCUUUUCAGCUCAUUUUACCUUAUAACUGCUGUUUUUUCCACUUAUGAAACAUGGGCGUUAGCAACCCACAACAUUUAGCAUCUUAAAAACAGAGCGCUCUUCCUGAUCUUUUGCUCAUUACGCUCCUCAGCAGAGGGUUUAGCUUUGUAUGCAGAGUUCUGCUCUAGUUUUUAAUACUUGUCUUCUUCUCAGACUUUAGGACAUUUCUGUAAUUUACAGCACAAACAUUCAGCUUACAGAACUCAACGCAUUCUUACAGGAAACGUCCAUUUUCUAGCUGUGUUUAUAGUCUGAGCUCUGAAAAACUGCAGUGAAAUUCCUUGCUGAGCCUCAGUCCAAGUCAACAAAUCUGGUUCUGAUUUUACGCCGGUUGACCCGAGUCAGAUGUUCCACACGCAGCUGGUUUGGAUCAGAACCGGUGAGGCAGCAAACAAAAUGUCCCAACAGAAGCUGGAAGAACCUCAUUUCUGAAGUUUCUACAUGGAGAGAAAAGCUUCAACCACCAACGACCUUCAUCCCCUGACCCUCGACCCCUGACCUUCUGACCCCUGGGGAUCUGCUGAGGAAGAAUGCGUCGGCAUGGCGACGCCUGCCAGCUUCCUCGUCAUGGAAACGCAUCCAGAAGCCAGUUCGUGUCUCCUGAGGCCAAGGCGGACUCGGUGGGGACACGAGGUCUGCCGCCCCCUCCAUCCGGUCGCUCUGAUGACGUUUCCACCCGCAGGUGAGGUCCCGCCCCCAUCCAGGUACCAAGCAGCCGCCGUUUCCAUAGCAACGGGGACGCCUGAAGGGAGCCAACCGACCCACAACAAAACUAGAGCAGCAACUUCCACCGCAAGGAACACGGCGGUUCUGUUUGCACACAGUGAGCCGGUCCAGCGGCGCUGAUAUCAUCAGGAGACCCGACGGAUUUAUAUGGAUUCAUUAUCGUUUUAAACUGCGAACACAGAUUUGGUCCCAACAGAUCAUUGACUUGUUCUCAUAGAAAGCGUUAUAUAAAAAAAUAAAACAUUUAACGAGACGUUUGUGACUAUUUAAUCCCUAAAGCAAACAUUAAACACCUGGUACAGAAAGUUGUAUAAUAAAUCAUUGUUGUCUGAUAACACAGACAGGUUAAUAAAAUAAACAAGUUAAUGUAAA
Long non-coding RNA from Xiphophorus hellerii (green swordtail), 1293 nucleotides. RefSeq lists it as uncharacterized. The transcript is spliced from 2 exons. The record is from RefSeq and is a predicted model, not a curated record. Lineage: Eukaryota; Metazoa; Chordata; Actinopteri; Cyprinodontiformes; Poeciliidae.